RNAcentral lists this long non-coding RNA (3265 nucleotides) under Triticum aestivum (bread wheat). RNAcentral's name for it is "long non-coding RNA (TAES_LNC001254)". The record is from RNAcentral. Lineage: Eukaryota; Viridiplantae; Streptophyta; Magnoliopsida; Poales; Poaceae.
GGAAGGUCAAACCAAGAUUGACAAGUAGCACAUCACAAAAAAAGUUUAUAACAGAUAUAGAAGUGACAAUAAAUAAGUUUUUCAAGAUUUACAAUGAACUACAUGAUUUGGCUUCUUGCUCUAAAAUAGAAAUCUGCAGCACUAACUUGGUGACAAUCCCACCAAUUCAACGACAAUGGACAUAUUUUCUACACUUCACUCCUUGCGGCUUGUAGAGUCAAAGGGCUACGACCAUCAUUGCAGAAAAGGAAAAAAUUAACAAUAGUUCUUGCAUGAAUGAGUCGUCAGGUAAUCAUGUGAGUCUACUAUAUAUAAACUAUAGGCAAAAUUCAGCAACAAAGGUAACAUGCGUAGUGAGAAACUGGAUAACAGAAGGAAUACUUUCAACCAAGUCUAGAGGAACACAUACUAUGCCCAGGAACUUUUCACUGACGUAACAAUGCAACUAUUCAUAGCAACAAAAUUUAUACAGAAAAGGGGGAUACUCCUACUCAAACAACAACAACAAAGCCUUUAGUUUGAAACACUCCUAGUCAACCUCCCUAAAAUUUAACCGGAUUUCAUCUGAUAACCUAGAGGCCAGCUGGAGAUUGAGCAAUAUUGGAAUAUACAUAUAUAUUUCAAACAAAUUAAUGAACUGGGAUGAACGGAUCUUAGAAGGAUAGCCUCACUUGGGGCUUUGGAACUUGAGUAUCUCCAUGGCUAAUCAAGGCUUAGAGAGGCAGCAGUUAAAGCAUCAGUCGAGUUAAGGUAUGCCGUUAUCAAUCCUUCUUUUAGUAAUCUGAACACGACGUUAGUAAUGCCAAGGCAAAUACCUUGAUACCCUGUUCAUGGUCAUCUCGUUACUGAAAAAUAAAUGUAAAACUGGCCUGCAAGAUAAAAGCAUUUCCCAGUACCUAAAUGUACAACCUGGGAUCGUCAGUGCUCUUAACAUUCAGUUACUGGGAAUACCACUGGAUGAAAUUAUAGUGCAAACUCCAGGUCUUAUAAAUUUUAAUACAUUCAACAACUAAGACUUUGAGCCAUGAGAUUAUAUGUCAAUAGUUACAUUUAAGCUUGUGAGAGCAUAAAUCAAUCAUAAAAAGGUAGAAAGAAUAAGCUCCAGAACACAAUAAGGGCUUAAACUACUUAUUUGAAAACAGUGGAACAAAUCAUUAAAUCUAACUAAUUUUAAAUGAUCCAGUUUUAAGAAUUAAUAUGGUACAGCUAAGAGAAGGCUACAAAAUCAUCAAUCAAGAAGACUCUAUAUAAGAUUGAUAAUUAGAGACAACUGUCACUGCUCGGUCACAUACCGUGGUCGACAUGAGCAAUGACAGACAUGUUAUGGAUAAUUUUUUAUCCACAAUUCCACGGAGCUCCUCCGUUCUAAACCUCACCGUUUUGACUGCUUUUGAAUGUCACACCAGGAAUACCCUUCCUGCUCUAAUAAUAGCAAGCUAUCAGAAUCAAGCAAUAAUAUAGUGUGAAUAACUGAACAUGGAAAUCCGACAGUAAUAUAUACUGACGAUCCUUUAAAGUAAUUAUGACCACAUUUGUCUACUCAAAGCUCAAAAGUGCACUUAACAAUCAUGUACAACAAUUAGUUUUAUACACUGCCACCAAAAUAUUUUAACCAACACUUCGACCAACAGCCCCGGUGAAGUGAAAUAUAUAAUUAAUAUGGUCAAUCGAGCAUAUUAUAUUAAUGUAUUAGAACUAAUAAAAGUGCACUGAGAAGGCAGCCAUAAAGCAAGAACAACCACUGCUAAGGGCACUGAUGAUCACAGUAAUGAGAAAAAGUAACACAUGGCAAUAACAAAGAAACGUAAUCCAUUAUGAAGAGAGGAUGCAGGUGGAAAGAAACGUAAUCCAAAAAAUAAGACUAAUAUAGACAAGCAUCAAAAACUAAUACUACUAUUGACACACCUCUGACACUAAGACUAUAUAUAGACAAGCCUCCAAAAGUAAGGCUAAUGGAACACGAAGUAGUACCUCCUGCAAUUUCUUCAAUCUAAUUCUGAUUCUAUGGGAAAAGGUUGCAACGAGAGGAAUAGCCUGCAAAAAUAGAUAGAUCAAAUGUUGUACAAGUCAAAAAAAGUUACUGCUAGCCAUAGUGCAUACAUUCUAUUUCUUAUUGUACUUUUUGCAACAUACUACAACUCAGAGCAGAUACAUGACAUAUCUUGGUAAUGCCACAAUGGUUAUUAUCGACUGGAAUCAGUUGUCCAGAUUUUUACUGGUAAAUCAAUUCAGUUUACAUGCAACUAACAAAAUUUUAUAGGGAAAUGUUGUACUGAUAUCAUGGUGGCGCAAGCAUAGAAGUUGUUACAGAGUGGAAAGAACAGUCUAGAUUUUCAGUACUGAAUAUGUCCGUCUAGCAUCGCAAAAAGCUACAGUUAAGCCUCUCGCAUGCUAAUUAUCUAUGUUGAAGCCGGUAGAAAACCUACACUUACAAUGGCACAUAGAAAAACAAGGGAAUGUAGCUUUUUGCAAUGCGAGAGGCUUAACUGUAGAAAACCUACACUUACAAUGGCACGUAGAAAAACUACUGCAGUUGAAGGAAUCACCGCCACCACAAAAGGCGAGAAAAUAGAAGCUUCAGCUAACACCGAGUCAUAAUAUUAUAGUAGAUAGCUCCAAGAAGAAAUAGAUUAUAUGUACUUUGAGCUGCCACUAAGUUGUGAGUUGCUGUCUAGCGGCCACAACUUCCCUUUGAGCCGCCAUAGCCACUGUUUCCACAUGUGUAGGUUGCUGCUGCCAACAACUCUUAUUUAUCUGCACCCUCCUUUUUACAAAAGAAUAUAAGGUUUAGUGGUUUAAACAUUUACUUCCUCAAAUAGUCCAAUACUAAUUGCUUCAAACGACAAGUGCUAUCUUUCAAUCCCCCCUUCCUAGUCAAGAGGUAGAUCAUCACACUGGAACUGCUUUAGGGCUCAUAGCCUAAUGCUAGAGACAAGCAAAAUUUGUUCUUGGUAAAUUAUCAGCAAACAACUGUGACAUGCCGCCUGAGCACUUCUACUGAGGGGCUCCAAACCCCAGGCCCCCAACUUCAUUUUUGAAUUUGAGUUCAGUAGCAUGUCGUCAUCCUCAUGAGCACUCCCGUCCAGGUACAUAAAGAAGAAAAACAGUGACACUUACAUUAGGAAAUACCUACAGGAUCCAUGUGUACAGGUAGUGAGGCAAUUGAAAUUGGCCCAAAAGACAUAACUUCAGUGCUGGAAGAGUCGCACUGUCGACCACACUCUGAGUCUUGGCUGCUUGAUCCAUCCCAUUGUGGUCGUCGGUG